GCUAUGCGCUAUUCGUGUAGGAUGAGAACCUGCUGCAGGUUCGAGUCGAACGAAGUGAGACAACGGAGCCGCUUGCGGCGACGGCCCGAAGGGCGAGCGAAGCGAGUCAUCCUGCACGACCCACCA
RNAcentral lists this small RNA (126 nucleotides) under Scandinavium goeteborgense. Its description in RNAcentral is "RtT sRNA". It matches the Rfam family "RtT RNA". From Rfam's summary of the family: This family represents a bacterial cis-regulatory element known as RtT RNA. The exact function of RtT is unknown although it is thought that it may be involved in changing the cellular response in relation to amino acid starvation. The record is from RNAcentral. Lineage: Bacteria; Pseudomonadati; Pseudomonadota; Gammaproteobacteria; Enterobacterales; Enterobacteriaceae.